This is a non-coding RNA of Lasallia pustulata, 72 nucleotides long. The record is from Rfam. NCBI's taxonomy places the organism in Eukaryota, Fungi, Ascomycota, Lecanoromycetes, Umbilicariales, Umbilicariaceae.
GGUUCCUUAGCUUAAUUGGUAAAGCGUAUUCUUGAUAAGAAUAUCUUCGAUGUUCGAGUCAUCGAGGAAUCA